RNAcentral lists this ribosomal RNA (253 nucleotides) under uncultured bacterium. RNAcentral describes it as "partial 16S ribosomal RNA". It matches the Rfam family "Bacterial small subunit ribosomal RNA", at positions 524 to 776 of the family's 1533-position model. The record is from RNAcentral.
GACGAACCGUGCAAACGUUGUUCGGAUUCACUGGGCUUAAAGGGCGCGUAGGCGGGUUCUCAAGUCGGUGGUGAAAUCUUUCGGCCCAACCGGAAAAUCGCCUCCGAUACUGGGGAUCUUGAGGGAGGUAGGGGCAUGCGGAACUUCGGGUGGAGCGGUGAAAUGCGUAGAUAUCCGAAGGAACGCCGGUGGCGAAAGCGGCGUGCUGGACCUCUUCUGACGCUGAGGCGCGAAAGCCAGGGGAGCAAACGGG